RNAcentral lists this ribosomal RNA (1299 nucleotides) under metagenome. RNAcentral's name for it is "bacterial LSU rRNA". It matches the Rfam family "Bacterial large subunit ribosomal RNA", at positions 1636 to 2925 of the family's 2925-position model. The record is from RNAcentral.
ACACGACCGUACCGCAAACCGACACUGGUGCGCGAGAUGAGUAUUCUAAGGCGCUUGAGAGAACUCAGGAGAAGGAACUCGGCAAAUUGACACCGUAACUUCGGAAGAAGGUGUGCCUUUAGUAGGUGAACCUGUACAAGGGGAGCCCAAUGAGGUUGCAAAAAAUCGGUGGCUGCGACUGUUUAAUAAAAACACAGCACUCUGCAAACACGAAAGUGGACGUAUAGGGUGUGACGCCUGCCCGGUGCUGGAAGAUUAAAUGAUGGGGUGCAAGCUCUUGAUUGAAGUCCCAGUAAACGGCGGCCGUAACAAUAACGGUCCUAAGGUAGCGAAAUUCCUUGUCGGGUAAGUUCCGACCUGCACGAAUGGCGUAACGAUGGCCACACUGUCUCCUCCUGAGACUCAGCGAAGUUGAAAUGUUUGUGAUGAUGCAAUCUCCCCGCGGAAAGACGGAAAGACCCCAUGAACCUUUACUGUAGCUUUGUAUUGGACUUUGAACAGAUCUGUGUAGGAUAGGUGGGAGGCUUUGAAGUGUGGUCGCUAGAUCGCAUGGAGCCAACGUUGAAAUACCACCCUGGUGUGUUUGAGGUUCUAACCUAGGCCCGUAAUCCGGGUCGGGGACAGUGCAUGGUAGGCAGUUUGACUGGGGCGGUCUCCUCCCAAAGCGUAACGGAGGAGUUCGAAGGUACGCUAGGUACGGUCGGACAUCGUGCUAAUAGUGCAAUGGCAUAAGCGUGCUUAACUGCGAGACUGACAAGUCGAGCAGAUGCGAAAGCAGGACAUAGUGAUCCGGUGGUUCUGUAUGGAAGGGCCAUCGCUCAACGGAUAAAAGGUACUCUGGGGAUAACAGGCUGAUACCGCCCAAGAGUUCAUAUCGACGGCGGUGUUUGGCACCUCGAUGUCGGCUCAUCUCAUCCUGGGGCUGUAGCCGGUCCCAAGGGUAUGGCUGUUCGCCAUUUAAAGAGGUACGUGAGCUGGGUUUAAAACGUCGUGAGACAGUUUGGUCCCUAUCUUCCGUGGGCGCUGCAGAUUUGAGGAAGCCUGCUCCUAGUACGAGAGGACCGGAGUGGACACACCUCUGGUGUAUCGGUUGUCACGCCAGUGGCAUUGCCGAGUAGCUAUGUGUGGAAGAGAUAACCGCUGAAAGCAUCUAAGCGGGAAACUCGUUUCAAGAUGAGAUCUGCCGGGGCCUUGAGCCCCCUAAAGAGUCGUUCAAGACCAGGACGUUGAUAGGUCGGGUGUGGAAGCGCAGUAAUGCGUUAAGCUAACCGAUACUAAUUGCUCGUGCGGCUUGACCAA